Long non-coding RNA from Entelurus aequoreus (snake pipefish), 434 nucleotides. RefSeq lists it as uncharacterized. The transcript has 4 exons. The record is from RefSeq and is a predicted model, not a curated record. Lineage: Eukaryota; Metazoa; Chordata; Actinopteri; Syngnathiformes; Syngnathidae.
UGGCAGCCGGUCCACCCGGGUGAAGUGAAGCAGUGAACAGCCUUUAUUCAUUCAUUUCACGGCAAGCGCCGCUUUAACGAUUUCCUCAACAUUACUAAACAGAUGGCGGGAGCUGCCAUGCAAGGCCCUAACCACCACCCAUCAGGAGCAAGGGUGAAGUGUCUUGCUCAAGGACACGACGGACGUGACGAGGUUGGUAGAAGAUGUCAUCACCUGACAGUUAUCAUCACUGCUGUCUGAUUCCAAUCAAUGCAAGUCAUCAGAAUCAGAUGUCAUCAGUGUUUGGACCUGACACAGUGUGCAAAGGAUAUCACCACUUGGGCUCAGGAACACUUCAGAAAACCACUGUCAGUAACUACAGUUCGUCACUACAUCUGUAAGUGCAAGUUAAAACUCUACUAUGCAAAGCCAAAGCCAUUUAUCAACAACACCCA